GCCUAAUACAUGCAAGUCGAGCGAAUGACAGAGAAGCUUGCUUCUCUUGAUUUAGCGGCGGACGGGUGAGUAACACGUGGGCAACCUACCUUAUAGAUGGGGAUAACUCCGGGAAACCGGGGCUAAUACCGAAUAACUCCAAGCACCUCCUGGUGCUUGGCUGAAAGACGGUUUCGGCUGUCACUAUAAGAUGGGCCCGCGGCGCAUUAGCUAGUUGGUAAGGUAACGGCUUACCAAGGCAACGAUGCGUAGCCGACCUGAGAGGGUGAUCGGCCACACUGGGACUGAGACACGGCCCAGACUCCUACGGGAGGCAGCAGUAGGGAAUCUUCCACAAUGGACGAAAGUCUGAUGGAGCAACGCCGCGUGAGUGAAGAAGGUUUUCGGAUCGUAAAACUCUGUUGUAAGGGAAGAACAAGUACGGUAGUAACUGGCCGUACCUUGACGGUACCUUAUUAGAAAGCCACGGCUAACUACGUGCCAGCAGCCGCGGUAAUACGUAGGUGGCAAGCGUUGUCCGGAUUUAUUGGGCGUAAAGCGAGCGCAGGCGGUUUCUUAAGUCUGAUGUGAAAGCCUUCGGCUCAACCGAAGAAGUGCAUCGGAAACUGGGAAACUUGAGUGCAGAAGAGGACAGUGGAACUCCAUGUGUAGCGGUGAAAUGCGUAGAUAUAUGGAAGAACACCAGUGGCGAAGGCGGCUGUCUGGUCUGUAACUGACGCUGAGGCUCGAAAGCAUGGGUAGCAAACAGGAUUAGAUACCCUGGUAGUCCACG
This 772-nucleotide ribosomal RNA is filed under the name uncultured Lysinibacillus sp. RNAcentral's name for it is "bacterial SSU rRNA". It matches the Rfam family "Bacterial small subunit ribosomal RNA", at positions 46 to 799 of the family's 1533-position model. Lineage: Bacteria; Bacillati; Bacillota; Bacilli; Caryophanales; Bacillaceae. The record is from RNAcentral.